UCCUGGGCUAAGUUCCAGGAGAUCUCAGAUCACUGGCAUUCUUUCUAGAAGAGUACUCCCAGGCAGCUCAUGGAACUGGGACAAGAACAAUGGAGGCUCGUGUACAACAUAUCAGAAAACUUGAGCAUUGACCCAGGAAGCGUGUGCCACCUUGAAAUGAAGCUUUCUUCAUCUGGAAUGUUGACUAACUGAAUUUAGA
This is a non-coding RNA of Microcebus murinus (gray mouse lemur), 199 nucleotides long. Lineage: Eukaryota; Metazoa; Chordata; Mammalia; Primates; Cheirogaleidae. The record is from RefSeq and is a predicted model, not a curated record.